Molecule: long non-coding RNA, 7144 nt
Organism: Orcinus orca (killer whale)
Lineage: Eukaryota; Metazoa; Chordata; Mammalia; Artiodactyla; Delphinidae
Exons: 2
Source: RefSeq, a predicted model, not a curated record
UGCUUGUCCCUUGAGAAUAUUUUCACUGUAAUUUUUGAUCAUCUGGAGACCAGAACUCUCAGUGCAGAUAAAUGAUGAAUGGUGGUGGGCGGGGUGGAGGGGGUGGGGAUAGUUACUUGGAAGGUGCUGACUGGUCAGGCACCCUCCCCAGAGGCUGUGAAAGCGUCCUGGCCUUGGUGCUGCCUGCUGAGGCUGGGGGCAAGUGUGGCAGAGGGAAGGAAAGCGCCCAUCCCCGGAGAUGUGCACUGGAGAAACCAAACAUACAGGGGUGGCUGGACUCUGGGCUGUGCUCCAAAGGGGGUGUUUGCUGUACACCCUCCAGCAGUCUCUCCAUCACAGCUGCCUAGCUCUGGGGUCCUGCCCAGACAGCUGUGUAGCCCAGACGCCCACCUGCUGGCUCCCACAUCCUUGACUGCAGGACCCAGCUCCCACGGGAUUCCUUCUGGGUUCCUAUUUCUCCCUACUAUUUUGCUGUGGGUUAGUGUUACUGCUCAGGAAAGUCAGAAGCUCCUCAAAAGCAGGUGCAUGUCUUGUUUAGAGCCCCACACAGCAUGAAGCCCCAGUCAAGACGUGGUGAGCGAUCAAUAACGUUUGCGAAUUGACUGUAUUCCAUGAGGAAACCGCUCGUGACAAAUGAGUUUCCACUCACAUCCUAAUUGUCCUUUCUUUGGAGAGGGCUCCUGGAACCAAACAGCCAUCAGUUCUACAGCGGGCAAGAGAGAAAAUUAUAGCCGAGGAGGGACAGGGCUCAAGUGUAAAUAAGAAAAGGAAAUGCUUGGACUUUCUCGAUGCAAUAAAAGUUCUAUAUAAUAAUAUUAUAUGGAACUAACUGUGCAAUUAAGCCCGAAAAUUGCAAGCUUCCAGUUUGUCCUUCCAGCCAAAUGCCAGGCGGUUCUCAUGGUGGAUGGCGUCUGCUUAGAAGAAAAGUGCAAGUUUUGAGGCAAAUCUGAGGUUUCACUUCCUUUGGAAAACACAGGCUGGGGUGGGAUCCUUGAGGCCAUCCGGCUGGGCCGCUGAUCCAGGCCUUAUCUCCAAAUCGAAGUGGACAGCAGCAGGGAGGCCAACGUGUUUUUCAAGAGCUGAGGCGUAACUAGGACAUCUUAUACCUGGAUGAGGCCUGGGAGUGUGAUCCUGCCCUCCUUCCUCCCUCGGCCCCUUCCGCCCCCACCCCACCCCCCAGCUUUUCCCUACCCCUUCUGACCCCAGGGGUCCGGAGCAGGGGUGUGGCUGUGAGUAAUGGGUCAGAGGGUACACUAUCCUAGCUGGUUUCCAGGACAGCCUGUUGCCGACACCUCCUCAAAGGCAGCUCCAAGCAGAUUCCUCUCCCAUCUGGAAGCUUCCCUGACUUCCUUCCCAUGGCCUCUUACACAGUCCGAGUGCAUCUGAGGCCUCCUCUCCCUGCCAGCACUUCCCCAGUGGAGUUCCCCAACCCCACCCCAAUGGAGUCCCUGCCCCUCGGCCUGCCCCCAAGGGACCCUGUCCUCACCUCUGGCCUAGCUCUUAGCACUGCUGUCUUUAUCUCCCAUUUUUCUGUGCGUCCUUAAGGAAUUCCAUCCCUUUCAUCCCUGUUUCUCCAGCCGCAGAUGGGUAAACUCCGCUUAGGAAACCUGGAGCCCGACAGCUUGGGUUCAAGUCCCAACUCUGCCUCAGUUUCUCCACUUGAAAAAUGGGUUUUGGAGGGGAUUAAGUAAGAGAAUCUACAUAAAAUAUUUAGGUCAGCAACUCACAUCGAACACUCAGUACAUCUCAGCUGAUAGUUUCAUUCUGUCUAUAUCAGCUGGAGGAAUACAACAUAUGUUGUAUCUCUGUCAAGCUGGGUGCCUGUCUCUUCGUCAUGCUCCCCACACAGGGCCUGUAGGAUUGUUUGUAAUGAAUUAGGGCACAUUCUGGAGAAGCAAUUUCCAGACCCCAAUGUGUGUUCACACUUAUUUCCCUGUGUAACCUGGCAGCAUCCCUGAGACACCUGGGUUGGGGGUAGAGGACAGAAUCAGGAAGUCCACAGUCGGACACAGCAGCCCCAAGACAGCAGAGGUUGAGCUGCUCGUGACCUCAGAAUCCAAAGAUCCACCCUGGAACCAGAAUAUUUAAGUGGAUCAGCUAGAGGACACCAUAGCACCAUCGAGUGUGUGGGCAGCAAGGGACCUUCACAGCCUCCUGGUCUCACAUAACAGAAGAAACCGAAGCUCAGAAAGGGAACGUGGCCAGUCCAAGGUCACCAGUAACUCAGCUGCAGAGCACAGAGGAAUUGUCAGUGCAGACUUUAAUUGCACCUCCUCCGCAGAAGCGUCGUAGCCCCCUCUGCGGACUGCACACCUGGGCAUUUCUCAGCCCCGCCUCUUCAUGCCCUUUCCCAAAACAGGCCUCGGCCUUUCUCCGCUCCAGCUCUGGCCCUCUCACCUGGCAGUGCUUUCCCUUCUCCCACCAUCAAGCCCCCUGGUCCAGCGGCAACAGGAGUUGCACAGGGAUCCCUGGGCUCACAGGUCAAGGUGGCUGGACGGCAGAGCGCACUCAGGCUGGCCAGCUGUGUAAGCACCUUGGUGCCUUCUAGAAGAAACACUAAACUACAUCCCCAGGAAGGGUUGAAAUAAGUGCUGCCUCUUAACCCACUCCGAACACAACUCCUCAAAUAACUCACAAAAUCUAAACCAUUCCCACCCCUCUGCAGGAGACGGCUGCUUUGGGCAGAAAUGCUAAAAGAAUAGUGCUCCCGGGGGCUCCUGCAUGGUCCCCACCUCCCCACCCUCCUGUGAGCUCGUGGCCGUGGGGAGUGUAGCCCACCAGCCGGGACACCUCCUGCAAAGGCACCCAGAGGCAGCUGGGAUUCUGAAGCUCCGUAACCCGGGGCCUAGUGCUCUUUAUGGGAAACAAGUGAUUUAUUUUAUUAUCUAAAUUUUCGGUGGUUUAAUAAGGUUUAAUGAGCCUCCCAAGGAGCCUUCUGGCUCGGGAAAUCGCCUGUAAUAAACACAAGUAGUAAAUCCUUUAUUUGGAACAUAAAGAGGUGCGCAAUUUCUCUUAAAAGGAAACAAGUCUUCCCCCCUCCCCCGCCUUGCCCUCUAAUAAAUAAAGGAUGAAUACAUAAUUAAAGAACCACAGUUUGAAGGGAUACCACUUAUGUGUCUGGCUCAGACUCCCAGGGCCAGCCCAGCCAGCAGGCAGGUGCUACCUAGCCUCAUUCCCAAAUCUGGAAAAGAAUCCACAUCCCUUCUCUGCCCCUGUGCAACUCCACCCUCGCCCUCACUAAUUCUGCCAGGCGUCUUCGAAGCUCCAGGCCCAGGCAGGGGAGGAACUGGAGGCUGGAGAGGGGACCACUCCCAGGGCAGUGGGAGCCUGCCAACUGGGGCCAGUCUGCCGUGGGGAUUUGGCAGAUGGAAGCGUCAUCCUGGGCCCCAGAUUUGCUAACCUGAGCAUGAUUCAAGGAGGCACUGAACUUGUGGAUCAAGGCGAUAGAAUUGUCCUGAAAGUCACAUCACUGAGGUCGCCAUGGAGGACAGGAAAGGGAUGGGACUGGAGCAGAAAUCAAAUCCCUGACCUGCUGUUUUCUAGCCGUGUGACUUGGGGCAAAGGACUUAGCCUCUCUGAUCCCCAUCAAAUGAGAAUCAUAAUAGGAUGAAAUGAGUAGAUAUAAGCACUUAACGAAUGAUAGGGCUCUGUUCAAAUGUCAGAUGUCCCCAGUGCAGAGGGCUGGGGCCACCCACUGCCUUUUGUGACUUCAAGGCUCUCUCCACUGUGUAUUUGAACAGACCUCAUUCAUUCAGCAUCUCCCAUGUUCCUGCCUAAUGGCAUCCUGGGAAUGAUACAGACAUAUAAGAGACAAUCCUGGAGCAAGUGAGAUCCAUGCAGUUACUUCCCCAUUUCCCACAUAAGCAAACUGAGGGCAGCAGGAGUAUACACAUAAUUUGCCAAUCCCUGCACUUCACAUUCCUAGUAAAACCAGUCCUAGAACAUGGGGUGCCUACUAGCCAGACGACCCCACACCCGGUUGGGGUCACAGGCUUAGGCGUCAGAGUACCUGGUUCUAGUUCCAGCCCUGGCACUAAUGCGCUGUGUGACCUUGGGCAUCAGCUACUCACUGUGCCUUAUUUUCCUCAUUUGUAAAAUAGGCGUAAAGUUUCUACCAGCCUUGCCUGCCUCUUUGGGUUAGGAGUACAUGAGACAGGAGGUAUGAAAGGACCUUGGAAGACUACAGUGUCCUCCACAUGCUGGGGUGGCCCUGGGAAUGUCUUUGGGAGAGGUGAUUAAAUAGUAUGGUCUCUGCAAAACUAUACAGAAGGGAAAUUAGUUCCUGGUACGACGCCACCUCCUUCUGUCAAGACCCCUGUUAGGUGUCUUUGUCCCUCCCGGACUUCCUAAUUGCCAGCAGUGUUUGAGUACCUCCUCUGUCCCAGGAGCACUUCCUGUGCCUUCCCUCAUUUGAUCCGCCCAACAACUCUUACCAUCCUCACUGAACAGAUGAAGAAACUGAGCUCAGGGGGGUGAAACCUAGUCCCCGAGGCCAGGAUGUGGACCCGGGAGGUCUUAAAGCAGGGCCCUCACUCUCCACCUCCCAGCAUAAUCCCCCUGUUGUCAGAUGGCUGUCAGCCAACUUCAGGCACACGCUGGCUGAGAACAGCUUCCUGUGUGAUCUCGCUCAGGAUCCAGGUUAAACACACCUUCAGGCGGGACUCUAGAAAUCCAAAGCUUUCCAGAUCCAAAUGAUACGGGGCAGGUCCUUCCUGCCCCUCUGCGCAGUGAGACCUUCUUUAUCCUUCACAGAUCAGACAGGGCGCCUCCUCCUGGAAGUCUGCUCCGAUCCCCCAGCCCGCAGGGGUCUGUUGCCUCCCUGUCCGUACCUCUCUCACUGGUGCUCAGUCCUGAGCCCCCCUGGCCUGCUUGGGUCUUAGGUCCCCAGUGUACAACCCUCAGCCCUGACUCUGAUUAAAUCUCUAAACUUUUGGGGGCUAGGGUCCAAAUCCCCCUACCCACAAGUCGGACUUUGUAAGGGGCAGUGUUAUAAGGGGAAUGAACGUGAGCUUUGGCACCAAAUGCAGCCGGGUUCAGACCCUGGUUCGGACACUUUUGUGUGGCAUUGGGCAAGACACUUACCCUCUCCAUACUCUUUCUUUAUCUCUAGAUUGCAGGUGAUGAUAAAAAUAUGUACCUUUCACGGGUCGUGUUGAUUGAAGAAGGCUUAGAGGUGCAAUGACCGACACGUUACAGGCACUUGAUAAAUGGUAGCUGGUAUUGAUUGUUAUUAUAAACGCUGGCUUGCCUGCUUGAUUGAUUUGGCCAUUAGAACAGGACACAAAUAAAAACAAAAAUUCAAGUCACACUCAAGAAAUUAGUUCGGAGGACUUCUAGAGCCAGGUUUCUACAGUGCAAUUCUCUGAGUCCAAGGCCCCCUCUCUCCUUCCAAAGGCUCCAGCUCCACCUCUUCUCUGAUCUUCUCAUAGAAACACCCCCUCCUCCUCUUUAGCUGGUGAGCUAAAGGGCAUGACCCUUCUCCCUAUAGUGAGAGGGGGGAGGAGAGUACCUGAGGCAGGUAGAGUACCUGAGGCUAGUUCUCAUGUUACAGUUGAAUUAACCUAGGCCGGAGAUGAGAAGUGCUGCCUUUGCCAGAAGGCUACUUGGACGUACCUGGGCUCUAGAACCUUCCACAGAGGGCACAGGCCCAGGGGAGGCUGUGGUGAGCCUCAUGUCCUCUAGAAUGGGGACCACACCUGAAAAGGUUUCACCCGCCCUGCAUUCUGGCUCUUUAAUCUCCUUCUUCCAUUUGCAAGCUCCUCUUUCCCCCUUUUCCUCCUCCGCCAUUAGUUCUUGGCUCUAUAUUUUUUCUAUCACCUUCAUACCAGAGGUUCAUAUUUUGCGUCAAGCCUCUCCUAGCUGUCGAGCGGUUUGGUUUUGUGUUUGUGUGUGUGUGUGUGUGUGUGUGUGUGUGUGUGUGUAAUUUUCUUUCCUGAGCGUGUUAUUCUUGGAGAAGGAGUGCCCUGGCUUGGGCGAUGGGAGGGAUGGAAGGGAGGGGAUGGAGGGCCUGGGUGCAAAGGUGGGGGCUGGACAUGGCAUCCCCUCUGGAACACUGCUGUCUGCGGGCCCGCCAGGCAUGGGGCUCUUAGGGUCACCAGGGAAGCUUCCAGAGUGUAGGCAGGGUGGGGGCACUUUUUCCCAAAGAGUUAAUAAAAACAGCAAACCACAGCCCCCCUUCCCCUGCUACCUCCUGCCAGGAAAAACAGCCCCGAGCUCUGUGGUUACAUCUGUUCCUCCAGGAAUGGUACAAAGACUCCAAACCAUGCCAUGGUGAGAAGUCGCUGCUGGACAGACCAGCCUUCAAGUCCAGGGUCACCCAGGCCUGUCACCCCCUCCCCACUGCCAGAUCCACUUUGUGCUUUCUCAUGGUCAUGACGCCGGUUGUAAGAUUUCCCCUGUCCGUCCAAUGACAAGAUGAGGAAAGAGAAGCCCAGAGAGGCGGUGGGGCCUCCCGGAGUCACACAGCUGUGGUUUCUGACCCCCAGGCCCAAGCAGACCAGCUCCAAAAGCAUGGGAAGCAGGACAUUUAGCACAGGGGUGGUGCUGUCCAUCCCUCAGAGGGCUCGGGUGAGACAAGGAUCACCUACACCCCAUCCAAUGGGUUCCCGCUCCUCUAUUUAAGAAGGUAGGGAUAAGUUUAAGGAAUUGCGGGAAUUUUUCCUGAAAAACAUUUUAAAACAUUUUUGUCUUUAUAAGAAUAAGCCCUCGGCAAGCAAGAAAACUUGCGUGAAAGAACUAAUUUCCUGAGGUUUUAAUGAUUUGGACUUUUAAUAGUUGAUGGGGCAUUUCAUUCACGAACAGUCUUUUCAGGUGAGAAGGUUCCUCUGAGGGUCAGAACCCUGCUACCAUUAGGGUAGCUUCGUGGGAAUUAGAAAAAGGUGUCAUUUCCUCGAUACAUCUACUUCCAUCUAUCAAACCAGUGUCGUAAUAUACUGAUUUUGUCAGAAGACAGCAUUUAAUGCCAUCUGCCAGAAAUGAUAGCUAUCACAAACCCAUAAUGUCUAUGAAGUGAAUGUUGUCUCUGUGUUGCCUGUUGUAUUAUCUGUUAUCUUCCUGUGUUAUCUAUUAUGUUAUCUAUUGCUGUAUAACAAGUUACUCUGAAACUGAGUAACUUAAAACAAGAAUAAACGUUUACUAUCCCCGG